CUAAUCUAAGGUUUUGUGAUGGGCCUUCCCAGGUCCGACACUGUCCGUAUUAUUAGUAAAGUCACAAGCUCAGGCAGAACAGGGUUACAUGAUCUUGUCAUUCAAAUGUGCUUCCACUGUAGGUUUGAGGAAGAAUUCUCACAGCCUAACACAAACAAUAAUCUGGUCAAUAGUCGUACUUAAACAAGCUGAAAAUGUAUUGCUGGUAUUUUGGUGGCCCAAAUAUCAAACAUUUUCCAAGGCCCUAGUCACAUUCCUCCCUUCUCCAUGAGAAAAGUCCAAGAAAAAAAAAUAUGGCUUACUACCAACUCUUUAUCUAUACACAUGCCAAUAAAAGCUGAUGACUCAGCCGCUCCAGACAGAAAAUUGGCCAGAAAUAUAUACAGCAGGUUUGAACAUUCUGUCAGAUGAGGACUGCAACAGUACAUUGAUGUGCUUCUUGUCUGCAAUAUGAUCCAAUCAAUGCCUGGAUCUGCACGAUCUGGCCCAGUGCACAGGAUACCAAAUCAGGCAGAGAUCCACUCAUUUGGCUAGAGGAUCCCAGUAUCACCACUACACUUGUAAAGCUCAAGCAAAAGCACCACAACAUGGCAAGGAAUUGUUAAGAUUGUGUUCAAAUUCAACAACUUCAUGAGGAUGCACAGUUUGAGCAUGAACCAUAUAGAGGCAGAAGGAGAUAUGAUUUUACUACAGGUAUGGGAUGCGUUAUUCAGAAGCCCGCUAUUCAGAAAGCACCCAAUUAUGCGAAGGCCGUCUCCAAUGGACCCCAUUUUACCCAUAUUUUAAAAAGGAUUUCCCUUUUCUUUGUAAUGAUAAAGCAGUACCUUCUACUUGAUCCCAACUAAAGAUAAAAUGCAUCCUUAUUAGAAGCAAAACCAGUCCCAUACCUGUAUAUUUAAAGAAUGUUGAUCAUAGUAACUGGUGAAAUAGGGUUGGUCAUUUAUAUGUUUUUUAUACACACACCAACGCAUAGUUCUCUUUUUACUACUCUGUGAUAUGAUAUGCACCUAGCAAAAUGCCAACUUUUAUAUGUCGAGCUGUGUUAGGAGUAAAGAAACUAAGGUUUCCAAUCAUUGCGUGUCCUCAGCCUGCCAAGCUUUAUCCAACUCCACAUCAAAAGCUUUACAGAAGCAUAGAAACAAGAAUCACCACUGGAUUGAGAAAUAUCACCAAUGGUUUAAGGAAGAGGAACAGACCAAGUUGAACAGGAGGUUUAUUCAUAAGUUGGUGAGAUUGGUAUGUUUCAGUACAAAGGAGCAUUUAGCCUUUCUCCAUGAUCACAGGCAAUACUGUAGUUUGUUGACUACAGAUAUUGGUUAAAUGUUGAUACUGUACCUGACAAAUUCCUUGAGCAAUAAAUCUUAUUGUGAAAAAGACAAUACAACGUUUUCGACUGUAACAGGAGAUUUAUCUCUGCUAUUUAAAUAUUUGGCUCAACCUUACGUUAAAAAAAUACAUUAUAAAUAGAACACAUAACUGUUCAAUUCUGGCCUGCGGACACAAGAAAGAUUUCCUUUGUACAAAUCAAAAAUUUGAUAAAAAUUGAUGGCUUAAUGUGGGAAUAAAUCUUAAUUGUGUAGCUCACCUCAAACCUUUGGUAUGCUUCGUUCUGCCUUUCUUUGAACAGCUUUGGACUGAAGGGUUGUUGGCUGCGGGUGUGCUUCUCUUUCCAAAACCAUUCCUAUUUCCCACCCAAAA
This is a long non-coding RNA of Xenopus laevis (African clawed frog), 1698 nucleotides long. RefSeq lists it as uncharacterized. The record is from RefSeq and is a predicted model, not a curated record. NCBI's taxonomy places the organism in Eukaryota, Metazoa, Chordata, Amphibia, Anura, Pipidae. The transcript has 3 exons.